Long non-coding RNA from Phyllostomus discolor (pale spear-nosed bat), 186 nucleotides. RefSeq lists it as uncharacterized. The transcript is spliced from 3 exons. NCBI's taxonomy places the organism in Eukaryota, Metazoa, Chordata, Mammalia, Chiroptera, Phyllostomidae. The record is from RefSeq and is a predicted model, not a curated record.
UCUGCAUCUUCACCGAGCAAUCAGAGUAGCUCCAUUCUGACCAAUCAGGACAGUGCCUUUUGGACAAAUCAAACUGUGAGGAUUUGGGGGGGGUCCUCAUUUGCAUUAGGAUGGACCAAUCAGAAACCAGGGGUGGGGACUUUUGUCUAUGUAAGCCAGCUCCCUUGUGUCUCAGAGAGUGCACUU